RNAcentral lists this ribosomal RNA (500 nucleotides) under uncultured bacterium. RNAcentral describes it as "partial 16S ribosomal RNA". It matches the Rfam family "Bacterial small subunit ribosomal RNA", at positions 30 to 523 of the family's 1533-position model. The record is from RNAcentral.
AUUGAACGCUGGCGGCAUGCCUUACACAUGCAAGUCGAACGGCAGCGGGGACUUCGGUCCGCCGGCGAGUGGCGAACGGGUGAGUAAUGUAUCGGAACGUACCAUUCAGUGGGGGAUAACUAUCCGAAAGGAUAGCUAAUACCGCAUAUUCUGUGAGCAGGAAAGCAGGGGAUCGCAAGACCUUGCGCUGAUUGAGCGGCCGAUAUCAGAUUAGCUAGGUGGUGAGGUAACGGCUCACCAAGGCUACGAUCUGUAGCGGGUCUGAGAGGAUGAUCCGCCACACUGGGACUGAGACACGGCCCAGACUCCUACGGGAGGCAGCAGUGGGGAAUUUUGGACAAUGGGCGCAAGCCUGAUCCAGCCAUGCCGUGUGAGUGAAGAAGGCCUUCGGGUUGUAAAGCUCUUUCGGCCGGGAAGAAAUCGCAUCAGCUAAUAUCUGGUGUGGAUGACGGUACCGGAAUAAGAAGCACCGGCUAACUACGUGCCAGCAGCAGCCGCAG